RNAcentral lists this ribosomal RNA (229 nucleotides) under uncultured bacterium. Its description in RNAcentral is "partial 16S ribosomal RNA". It matches the Rfam family "Bacterial small subunit ribosomal RNA", at positions 568 to 796 of the family's 1533-position model. The record is from RNAcentral.
AGUGUAGGCGGCUAUUCAAGUCGGAUGUGAAAGCCCCGGGCUCAACCUGGGAAUUGCAUUCGAAACUGAAUAGCUAGAGUUUGGUAGAGGUAAGUGGAAUUCCGGGUGUAGCGGUGAAAUGCGUAGAUAUCCGGAGGAACAUCAGUGGCGAAGGCGGCUUACUGGACCAAAACUGACGCUGAGGCUCGAAAGCGUGGGGAGCAAACAGGAUUAGAUACCCUGGUAGUCC